Molecule: long non-coding RNA, 1704 nt
Organism: Phascolarctos cinereus (koala)
Lineage: Eukaryota; Metazoa; Chordata; Mammalia; Diprotodontia; Phascolarctidae
Source: Ensembl
AUGACUGUGAGCACACUGACUGUCAUCCCUAGCCAAGGGACAACACCAGCUGCCACGACAUCCUCAGGGACCUCAAGCAGAGCCUCAUCUUCACAGGGCUCCACCUCCACCAGCCCUACACCUCACAGUACCUUACAGCCUGGCAGCCCCACGACUGUGAGAACUCAAGCUAUCACCUCUAGUCCAGGGACAACAGCAGCUGCCACGACUUCCCCAGGGACCUCGGGAACACCCACAUCUUCCCAGGGCUCCACCUCCAUUAUCACCACACCUAACACAACCACAGAGCCAGGCAGGACAUCUGUGAGAACACUGACUUUCACCUCUAGCCAAGGGACAACAGGAGCUGCCACUACAUUCCCAGGGACUUUAUCCACACUCACAUCUUCGCGAGGCUACACCUCCAUGAGCACCACAUCCCAGAGUACCACAGAGCUUGGCACCACGACGACUGUGAGAACACAGACUGUCACCUCUAGCUCAGGGACAACACCAGCUUCCUCUUCGUCCGCAGGGACCUCAGGGACGGCCACAUCUUCUCGUACCUCCACCGCUAGCAGCUCCACCUCUCAGAAUACCACCUACUCUCACAGUACUACAACUCUGACCUCGGAGGCUCUCACGCCUACCCUAGGGACAACAGCAGCUGCCACGACUUCCCCAGGGACCUCAGGAACACCUACACCUGAGCAGGGCUCCACCGCCAGCAGCGCUACACCUCAGAGAAGCACUGAGCCUGGCCGCAGGACGACUGUGAGCACGCUGACUGUCACCCCUAGCCAAGGGACAACACCACCUGCCAAUACUGCCCCAGGGACCUCAGGAACAGCCACAUCUUCUCUUAGCUCCACCUUCAGAAGUUCUACCUCUCAGAAUACCAGCUAUUCUCACAGUACUACAACUCUGACCACGGAGGCUCUCACAACUACGCCAGGGACAACAGCAGCUGCCACGACAUCCCCAGGGACCUCAAACAGAGCCACAUCUGUCCAGGGCUCCACCUCCUCCAGCCCUACACCUCAGAGUACCACAGAGCCUGGCAGCACGACUACUGUGUACACAGUGACUGCCACUCAUAGCCAAGGGACAACAGCUGCUGCCACUAAUUCCAUAGGGACCGCAGGAACAACCACAUCUUCCCAGAGCUCCACUUCCAACAACCCCACACCUGAGAGUACCACAGAGCUUGGCAGCAUGACAACUGGAAGAACACAGGCUGUCACUUCUAGCCCAGGCACAACAGCAGGUGCCACUACUUCCUUGGCGACCACAGGAACCCCCACACUUUCCCAGGGCUCCAUCCCCACCAGCGCUCUACCUCAGAGUAACACAGAGACUGGCAGCAUGAGCACUCUGAGAACACAAGCGACCACCUCUAGCCCAGGGACAACACCAGCUGCCAUGACAUCCUCAGGGACCUCAAGCAGAGCCUCAUCUUCACAGGGCUCCACCUCCACCAGCCCUACACCUCACAGUACCUUACAGCCUGGCAGCCCCACGACUGUGAGAACUCAAGCUAUCACCUCUAGUCCAGGGACAACAGCAGGUGCCACUACUUCCCUAGGGCCCUUAAGCAGAGGCACAUCUUCUAGCUCCAACUCCAGUAGCCCCACGCCUCAGAGUACCACAGACCCUGGCAGGUUGAUAUCUGUGAGCACACUGACUCUCACCCCUAGCGCAGGGGACAACAGCAGCUUUCUUUAG